AUGAACGCUGGCGGCGUGCCUAAUCCAUGCACGUCGAGCGAACAGAUGAGGAGCUUGCUCCUCUGACGUUAGCGGCGGACGGGUGAGUAACACGUGGAUAACCUACCUAUAAGACUGGGAUAACUUCGGGAAACCGGAGCUAAUACCGGAUAAUAUAUUGAACCGCAUGGUUCAAUAGUGAAAGACGGUUUUGCUGUCACUUAUAGAUGGAUCCGCGCCGCAUUAGCUAGUUGGUAAGGUAACGGCUUACCAAGGCAACGAUGCGUAGCCGACCUGAGAGGGUGAUCGGCCACACUGGAACUGAGACACGGUCCAGACUCCUACGGGAGGCAGCAGUAGGGAAUCUUCCGCAAUGGGCGAAAGCCUGACGUAGCAACGCCGCGUGAGUGAUGAAGGUCUUCGGAUCGUAAAACUCUGUUAUUAGGGAAGAACAAAUGUGUAAGUAACUAUGCACGUCUUGACGGUACCUAAUCAGAAAGCCACGGCUAACUACGUG
Molecule: ribosomal RNA, 496 nt
Filed under: uncultured bacterium
Lineage: Bacteria
Description: partial 16S ribosomal RNA
Rfam family: Bacterial small subunit ribosomal RNA
Source: RNAcentral